CGGCGUACGGGUGCGGAACACGUGUGCAACCUGCCUUUAUCUGGGGGAUAGCCUUUCGAAAGGAAGAUUAAUACCCCAUAAUAUGUUGAAUGGCAUCAUUCGACAUUGAAAACUCCGGUGGAUAGAGAUGGGCACGCGCAAGAUUAGAUAGUUGGUGAGGUAACGGCUCACCAAGUCUACGAUCUUUAGGGGGCCUGAGAGGGUGAUCCCCCACACUGGUACUGAGACACGGACCAACUCCUACGGGAGGCAGCAGUGAGGAAUAUUGGACAAUGGGUGAGAGCCUGAUCCAGCCAUCCCGCGUGAAGGACGACUGCCCUAUGGGUUGUAAACUUCUUUUGUAUAGGGAUAAACCUACCCUCGUGAGGGUAGCUGAAGGUACUAUACGAAUAAGCACCGGCUAACUCCGUGCCAGCAGCCGCGGUAAUACGGAGGGUGCAAGCGUUAUCCGGAUUUAUUGGGUUUAAAGGGUCCGUAGCGGAUCUGUAAGUCAGUGGUGAAAUCUCACAGCUUAACUGUGAAACUGCCAUUGAUACUGCAGGUCUUGAGUGUUGUUGAAGUAGCUGGAAUAAGUAGUGUAGCGGUGAAAUGCAUAGAUUU
RNAcentral lists this ribosomal RNA (600 nucleotides) under uncultured bacterium. Its description in RNAcentral is "bacterial SSU rRNA". It matches the Rfam family "Bacterial small subunit ribosomal RNA", at positions 96 to 697 of the family's 1533-position model. The record is from RNAcentral.